ACCCGGCAUACAUUGUAGGAUU
RNAcentral lists this microRNA (22 nucleotides) under Gadus morhua (Atlantic cod). RNAcentral describes it as "gmo-miR-221-2-5p". Its record names the gene gmo-miR-221-2-5p. The record is from miRBase by way of RNAcentral. Lineage: Eukaryota; Metazoa; Chordata; Actinopteri; Gadiformes; Gadidae.